UACGGAGGGGGCUAGCGUUGUUCGGAAUUACUGGGCGUAAAGCGCACGUAGGCGGCUGUUUAAGUCGGGGGUGAAAUCCCGGGGCUCAACCCCGGAACUGCCUUCGAUACUGGAUGUCUGGAGUCCGAGAGAGGUGAGUGGAAUUCCGAGUGUAGAGGUGAAAUUCGUAGAUAUGCGGAGGAAUACCAGUGGCGAAGGCGCCUUGCUGGACAGUGACUGACGCUGAGGCGCGAAAGCGUGGGGAGCAAACAGG
This 253-nucleotide ribosomal RNA is filed under the name uncultured bacterium. RNAcentral's name for it is "partial 16S ribosomal RNA". It matches the Rfam family "Bacterial small subunit ribosomal RNA", at positions 524 to 776 of the family's 1533-position model. The record is from RNAcentral.